GCAGCAACGCCGCGURUAUGAUGAAGGCUUUCGGGUCGUAAAGUACUUUCAGUGGGGAAGAACUGCAUAAUCAGUAACUGGGUUAUGAUUGACGGUACCCACAGAAGCAGCCCCGGCUAACUCCGUGCCAGCRGCCGCGGUAAUACGGAGGGGGCAAGCGUUGUUCGGAGUCACUGGGCGUAAAGAGCUCGUAGGCGGCAGUGUAAGUCGGGAGUUAAAGGCAACAGCUCAACUGUUGUAAGGCUUUUGAGACUACAUUGCUAGAGUGCCAGAGAGGUAUGCGGAAUUCCCUGUGUAGCGGUGAAAUGCGUAGAUAUAGGGAGGAACNCCGGUUGCGAAGGCGGCAMCUGGCUGGUNACUGACGCUG
RNAcentral lists this ribosomal RNA (367 nucleotides) under uncultured Deferribacter sp. Its description in RNAcentral is "bacterial SSU rRNA". It matches the Rfam family "Bacterial small subunit ribosomal RNA", at positions 388 to 748 of the family's 1533-position model. The record is from RNAcentral. Lineage: Bacteria; Pseudomonadati; Deferribacterota; Deferribacteres; Deferribacterales; Deferribacteraceae.